Molecule: ribosomal RNA, 301 nt
Filed under: uncultured bacterium
Lineage: Bacteria
Description: partial 16S ribosomal RNA
Rfam family: Bacterial small subunit ribosomal RNA
Source: RNAcentral
CAGUAGCCGCGGGAAUACAGAGGGUGCGAGCGUUAAUCGGAUUUACUGGGCGUAAAGCGUGCGUAGGCGGCUUCUUAAGUCGGAUCUGAAAUCCCUGAGCUUAACUUAGGAAUUGCAUUCGAUACUGGGAAGCUAGAGUAUGGGAGAGGAUGGUAGAAUUCCAGGUGUAGCGGUGAAAUGCGUAGAGAUCUGGAGGAAUACCGAUGGCGAAGGCAGCCAUCUGGCCUAAUACUGACGCUGAGGUACGAAAGCAUGGGGAGCAAACAGGAUUAGAUACCCCGGUAGUCCCUGUCUCUUAUCA